ACAUUCGUUACAUCUGUAAGGUUUCUCUCCUGGACAGGUUCUGUAAUGGCUCACAGGUUGGAGAAAUGUAUAGAAUGACUUAAGACUUCGAUUCCAUUCAUAAGAUAGCUCUUAAGAUGUUUUCUAAGACCUGAGUAGGACUUGUCACAAUCACUAAACUACAGGGUGGAUCCUGUAAUGUUUUUCAAAGCCUGAUGUAUUAUAAGAGAACUUGCCACAUUUCAUACAUUCAUAGGGAUAUUUUCCAUAAUGGAUUUUGUAAUGUACUUUGAUCUGUGACAAAUGCAAAAAGGAUUUCCUAUAUUUUGUACAUUUAUGGGAUUCCUCUCUGGUAUGGACUCUGAUGUCUACUGAGGCUUGAGUACAUCUUGAAGCAUUUCCCACAUUUCCUGCAUUUGUGUGGCUUCUUCCCACUAUUAGUUUCAGCAUGAGUUUAUGUGAAGUGGAAACUUAAGGGUUCUUUGGAAAGUCAGUUGGAUGGUGUUUUGCUGGGGCGAACACGUGAAGGAACGUUUAGCUGUUGUGGAUACAGGAGAAAGGAUGCUCUGCUAAAGCAAGCAUGUGAAAGGACACGUGAUGAAUGGUUCUUCUCCAAUAACACAUGUAAUGGUCUGCCUUACAUCAGGACUCCAUAGAGAGAAAUGCACCAAAAAACCUUCUGAUGAUAUGUUGCAGUUUACUGCGGCUUCCAAGGACUUGGGCUGAUUGGCAGAGUGAUGUCACCUGAGACAGAUGCACAUGCUGAGGCAGGACACACACUGAGGCAAGACUGUGGAGGACACUUGAUGUUUGUAGGGUGUAAAUAGGACUCCAAGGCUGAGCUAGGCUGGCCCAUAGAGCUAUCUGUACAACACUUGUGGGUCUUGAGUAUUCUCUGAUCUUUGCAUUGCUGAGAGAGGCACAGCCAAGACUUUUCUGGCUAUCUUCCAGGUCCCUCCUACUGACUUGUGCUUAGGCUGAGGCCUGUCUACUAGGCUGUGCCGCCAUUGCUGAUUCGUGAUUGCUAUUCCGACUCUACCAAACUGGACUGCGGGAGUAUCCAUGAAAUGUUUGCAAGUGGAUUGAGCUGCUGCUGCUGACCUGUGAACUGAACUGCAGAUUUCCAGACAACACAGACAGGAGUUGCUCCAAAGAAUCUUUCUAAAUAGGCUCACUUCCCCCAUCUUCCUUUUCCACUAAAUCUGGUGGGUGGUGGGCUAAAUGGAAGGUUAAAGCAUUUAAGAACCAUUAUUUAAAGCGAGACUUGAAAACAAUUAAAGUUACAUUUAUGUUCAGAGCCAGAAACCUUUUCAUACUCUGUAUUGUUGUGUUCUUAUGUGGAUUUUUGAUUUUGACUAAUGAUGCAACACACACAUUCCAACAGUUUAUACAGCUUUUAAAUUCUC
This 1385-nucleotide long non-coding RNA is filed under the name Mus caroli (Ryukyu mouse). RNAcentral's name for it is "predicted gene, 38325 (MGP_CAROLIEiJ_G0002436.1)". The record is from RNAcentral. Lineage: Eukaryota; Metazoa; Chordata; Mammalia; Rodentia; Muridae.